Long non-coding RNA from Daphnia pulex (common water flea), 1025 nucleotides. RefSeq lists it as uncharacterized. The transcript has 2 exons. NCBI's taxonomy places the organism in Eukaryota, Metazoa, Arthropoda, Branchiopoda, Diplostraca, Daphniidae. The record is from RefSeq and is a predicted model, not a curated record.
CUGGCGAGAAGAGCAGGUUUUUAGUUCUUUCUGUUGACGUUUGUUCUCAUGCGUAAAUAUUUUAUUAUGAUAUCUAUAUUUCCAGAUAUAUCGCUGAAUCGGUAUCGUGCCAAAUUAUAAUUGGCACAAUUUGAUUUUGGUGUCAUCGAUUUUCCGUCUACAUUUGAAUACUCACCGAAAAAUGAUCCCCAUACAAUGUUGUUUGUCCCCAUUGGACGAAAUUCAUUUCGUUGUGACGGAUGUAUUCUGUAACCAAUUUACAAUUAACAAAUACACCAAAUUCUGUCUGAAUUGUACGGUCAGUUUCGUUUACCUAUUCCAAUAUUAUUUGAAAAUUGUCUCAUGUUUUUCGUUAGCUUAUGUUAGUUAAGCGUGGGGGCGUAAGAGGAAUUUUUUUUUCAUUUUGGUCCAAUGACGGUGGCGAGAAUGAUGAAUUAGGCUACACAUUUUUUUUUCGGCGCGACUGCGCGGACAAAAUAGACUUUGUAGCUGAACAUAAUUUGAGAAAUGUUUUAAAAAAAUUGCACCAGAGGAUUCUUCGGCUUUGUCAUCAGCCAAUAUUUCAACAACAUUUCCACAUUUUCCAGGUUUUGUUUCUUCUCUUAAAAAAAAAACUUCUACAAAUUUUUAAGAAUUCAUGUAAAAUUUUGGAUAAAACAGUGUAUAAAUUAAUAUACCUUGGACCCCAGGAUUUUGUAUAAAGUUAGGUAUCGUAGGCUGAUUGCCUUUUUCUUCUUACCCUUGAAUUUCAAGAAAGUCAAGAAAAUCAGGCCUUAACUUUAACGCAACUCGGACGUUGCGAAGCGGCAAGCGUUACUGUGUUCUCCCUCGUUUAUAAAAGGGAGGAGCCCACAUUCAAUUAGAUUUUUAUUUAUAGGAUUUCUUUAAUUUAUUUACCUCUAGUUAAGUAGCUAAGCUGGAAUGGGAGUUCAGUGAAUUUUUUCGGCUAAAAUAGACUUCAAUCCUGGGAAGAUUCCCGUUGAAUUUUGGGAGACACACUAAUACCUAAAACAAGUAAGAAUAAA